Long non-coding RNA from Saccostrea cuccullata (small rock oyster), 299 nucleotides. RefSeq lists it as uncharacterized. NCBI's taxonomy places the organism in Eukaryota, Metazoa, Mollusca, Bivalvia, Ostreida, Ostreidae. The record is from RefSeq and is a predicted model, not a curated record. The transcript has 3 exons.
AAACAACAGGAACUGUGCAUGUUUACUUGGUAUAUUGUGGGGAAAAUGGAUGGAAUUGUUCUUAUACUUCUCCCAAGCUUCAUUAAAAUUUAUGUGUCAUCUGCCACCCCGGAUCCUAACAUGUGUGGAAUGCGGUGUUGUGCGGGCUAUUUUCUUCAUAAUGAGAUAUGUACAGUGUGCAGGUCUGGUCAAAUUGGGGAAAACUGCAGUCAAGCGUGUCCUACUGGGUUUUAUGGAGAGCUUUGCAGGAAUGAUUGUCCAUUUGAAUGUAAGAACAACUGUAAUGAGGUCACGGGAAG